UACAGAGGCCUCGAGCGUUAGGCGGAAUCACUGGGCUUAAAGCGUGUGUAGGUGGAUUGAUAAGUACCUUGUGAAAUCCCACGGCUUAACCGUGGAACUGCUGGGUAUACUGUCGAUCUUGAGCCACUCAGGGGCUACCGGAACAAAUGGUGGAGCGGUGAAAUGCGUAGAUAUCAUUUGGAACGCCAAUGGUGAAAACAGGUAGCUGGGGGUGUGCUGACACUGAGACACGAAAGCCAGGGGAGCGAACGGG
Molecule: ribosomal RNA, 253 nt
Filed under: uncultured prokaryote
Description: partial 16S ribosomal RNA
Rfam family: Bacterial small subunit ribosomal RNA
Source: RNAcentral